AGUCGUAACAAGGUUUCCGUAGGUGAACCUGCGGAAGGAUCAUUACCGAGUGAGGGCCCUCUGGGUCCAACCUCCCACCCGUGUUUAACGAACCUUGUUGCUUCGGCGGGCCCGCCUCACGGCCGCCGGGGGGCAUCCGCCCCCGGGCCCGCGCCCGCCGAAGACACCUGUGAACACUGUCUGAAGUUGCAGUCUGAGAAACUAGCUAAAUUAGUUAAAACUUUCAACAACGGAUCUCUUGGUUCCGGCAUCGAUGAAGAACGCAGCGAAAUGCGAUAAAUAAUGUGAAUUGCAGAAUUCAGUGAAUCAUCGAGUCUUUGAACGCACAUUGCGCCCUCUGGUAUUCCGGAGGGCAUGCCUGUCCGAGCGUCAUUGCUGCCCUCAAGCACGGCUUGUGUGUUGGGCCCCCGUCCCCCCCACCGGGGGGACGGGCCCGAAAGGCAGCGGCGGCACCGCGUCCGGUCCUCGAGCGUAUGGGGCUCUGUCACCCGCUCUUGUAGGCCCGGCCGGCGCCAGCCGACCCCCCUCAAUCUAUUUUUUCAGGUUGACCUCGGAUCAGGUAGGGAUACCCGCUGAACUUAAGCAUAUCAAUAA
This 594-nucleotide unclassified non-coding RNA is filed under the name Penicillium sanguifluum. RNAcentral describes it as "sequence contains 18S rRNA gene, ITS1, 5.8S rRNA gene, ITS2, 28S rRNA gene". The stretch from base 219 to 372 matches the Rfam family "5.8S ribosomal RNA". Lineage: Eukaryota; Fungi; Ascomycota; Eurotiomycetes; Eurotiales; Aspergillaceae. The record is from RNAcentral.